AUACGUAGGGUGCGAGCGUUAAUCGGAAUUACUGGGCGUAAAGCGUGCGUAGGUGGUUGGGUAAGUCAGAUGUGAAAGCCCCGGGCUUAACCUGGGAACUGCAUUUGAUACUGCCUAGCUAGAGUUUGGUAGAGGGAAGUGGAAUUCCAGGUGUAGCGGUGAAAUGCGUAGAUAUCUGGAGGAACACCAGUGGCGAAAGCGGCUUCCUGGACCGAAACUGACACUGAGGCACGAAAGCGUGGGGAGCAAACAGGAUUAGAAACCCCGGUAGUCC
This 274-nucleotide ribosomal RNA is filed under the name uncultured bacterium. Its description in RNAcentral is "partial 16S ribosomal RNA". It matches the Rfam family "Bacterial small subunit ribosomal RNA", at positions 523 to 796 of the family's 1533-position model. The record is from RNAcentral.